Molecule: small nuclear RNA, 21 nt
Filed under: Arabidopsis thaliana (thale cress)
Lineage: Eukaryota; Viridiplantae; Streptophyta; Magnoliopsida; Brassicales; Brassicaceae
Description: snRNA_06402
Source: RNAcentral
AGCAAAUGAGUAAUUAGUUAU